Molecule: non-coding RNA, 176 nt
Organism: Citrobacter sp.
Lineage: Bacteria; Pseudomonadati; Pseudomonadota; Gammaproteobacteria; Enterobacterales; Enterobacteriaceae
Source: Rfam
UCAAUACACUCUGGCAUCGUUAAUUAUCCACCUCUUUCUGCUUGCCAGAUCACAUUUUAUUAUUUAACAGGUCAGGCAUCAUUUAAAUUAAAAUAUAUUCUCGCCGCAAAUAUAAUAAACCCACAUUAUAUUAAGCAAUAAAAAACCCCGGACAUAAACCGGGGUUAAUUUAAAUA